UUAAUUAUUUAUAAUUAUUAUUUAAUUCAAUUAUUUCAGCAAGGUGCCUAAACAGGUGAUUAAGUCUACAUUUUCUGGCCUCCUGAUGUGAGAAGUAAUACUGAUGUCGACUCUGGAGAAUGGAGGCAUGGUGAAGGUUCCUCUGGUGAGCGCCUGCCCUUUGGUGACCUUGUCCAUCUGAGGCAUCUGCGGCUCAGUGGAGCGUUUCCUGGCCGUCUCAUGCUCUAUCAGUCCCAAUGAAGGAACACAGCACCAGACCGGACCCGCAUGGCAAUAAGGGGUGCUGGAGUCAACCCGAUCCGACAGCCUAGCUCACCCCUCUGGUCUAAGGGUCAACGCUGGGGUCAUUCAGCACCUAGAGUCACCCUGGGUAAUUCUGGAUGCACUCAUGAUAUGAAGACUCCCUUGAUGUCCUUUCGAUUGGCAUUAUAUGCAAGGACAGGUUUAAUCAAAAGUGCAGGGAACAGGAGUCAUUCUGCCCUCAGUUCCUGCUGAAGACAGCCAUCAGACACAACAGGGUGAUGCUGGGUACAGUUGCCAUGGAAAUCCAAGUUCGGAGACCACAUGCCACAAGGUUCAGUGGCUCAAAAAAUCUCAAAUGAACUGAUGCAACAAUCUGCACACAAUUAACUCUCGCACUGCUUUUUCAGCUGUUUGCUUUGUAAAUGAAUGCCUUAUAUUUCAGUUCUGUUCCCCCUAGUUUACUAUAUACUUUUCUAAACUACUAUUCUUGAGGCAUACAGCUGCAUUUUAUGUUACUGUACACUAAAUCUUGGUUAUAUACAGAUGUUAUUUUCAUUGCUAAUCGUUGAACUGUUUCUUUUUUCACUGAGGUAUCAGUGUUCGGCUGAUGAGCUGGUAUGUAGAUGUCCACAGCCAAUUCAUGAAGUAGCCAUGCAUUCUUACAAUAUUAAAUAUUUUGCCCAGUAAACAUAUAAAUCAUUAUUUCUUUACACUUUAGUAGACGACUUAUAUUUGACGUCACAGCUCAGGAUAGUUGCUAGUGAAGGGCUUGGGAUGAGACUGAGAUAAAUGGGAAUGUUAUACUGUAGAUAUACAGUAUAGAGGUUUUAUUAUAGAAGGUGUUGUCCUCAGUGCACAGUUGUGCAAAUAUGUCAAACUCUGCCCCCUAGUGGUGGACUGUGAUAUGGGUGUUAAUGUUUGAGAAGAGGGAUGGUUCACUUUCACUGCUGUAAUAUGUUAUGUAAUUUAAAACACUUCGAUUGAUCGAUUGACUUCGACUAAUUGCUCUAAAAGACAAACCUUGAGACUGUAUUGCUUUCGGUGAUCAUUUGUGCUUUUUGAUUUGUUUGAUGUUUAUUUCCGCAAACUCCAUGCAAUAUUUUUGCACAGUGAGGUCAGGCCCUAAUUAUUAGAGUGAACAAAUGUUAUGGUGACCAGAUUAAAAAAAAAAAAAAGGAAAUCUUGGACAUUUCCUAUUCGGUGGUCAAAAUAUCAAAAUGCACUUUUGUAUGUAUUGUAUUUAAUAUUUUCA
Cyprinus carpio (common carp) is the source of this 1495-nucleotide long non-coding RNA. The record is from Ensembl. Lineage: Eukaryota; Metazoa; Chordata; Actinopteri; Cypriniformes; Cyprinidae.